CCCCUCGCCGUCGCCUCUCCGGAACUUCCUCUGGCCUGGGGACAUCCUGCUGCUGUCUCCACCCCGUCCAGUCUUCGUCCGGCCUUCUUAUCUCCUCCCUCUCUUUGAGGGAUCUUUUACAAUGGAUGAUGCGUGAUAGCUUGGUGCUUUUUAUUAUGAUUUUGAAUGAAGGAGAGAAGUUGAACCAUUGGGAAGAGAAAAGCGGCCGCUAGGCCACCCCCUAGGAAGUGGAUGGACAAACUCGAUACGGUCUUUUCCUGCCCAUUCUGCAAUCAUGGGAGCAGCGCUGAAUGCCGGAUGAUAGUACCAUCUUCACGUAUUUUUACUAUUAGUUGGUUGAUACUAGACGGUUAUCUAUCCAUUCAAAAUUGUGACUGGCCUUCAUUUUUCUUCAGUGAUAUGAAGAACCUGAUUAGUGAGGCUAAUUGUCAAAUCUGCCAGGAAAGCUUCAGCACCACUGCAAAGAAGUUCAACCUACCACAUUAUUUUCUUGUUAAUGUAUUUUAAUUAAGCUAUCUUAUCUUAAGUGAAUUAUUCUGCCGAGGGUCAAGAACUAUCCUGGGCAAUGUUAAAUAUAUAUAGCAAUGCAUAUUUGCCCUAUUCCGCAUGGAGUAAAAUUUAGCAUAGCAUUACAGUUAUGUUGGAACCUUCUGAAUUUCGUAGA
Molecule: long non-coding RNA, 664 nt
Organism: Triticum aestivum (bread wheat)
Lineage: Eukaryota; Viridiplantae; Streptophyta; Magnoliopsida; Poales; Poaceae
Exons: 3
Source: RefSeq, a predicted model, not a curated record